This 440-nucleotide ribosomal RNA is filed under the name uncultured bacterium. RNAcentral's name for it is "partial 16S ribosomal RNA". It matches the Rfam family "Bacterial small subunit ribosomal RNA", at positions 339 to 795 of the family's 1533-position model. The record is from RNAcentral.
CUACGGGAGGCACCAGUGAGGAAUAUUGCACAAUGGGGGGAACCCUGAUGCAGCAACGCCGCGUGGAGGAUGACGCAUUUCGGUGUGUAAACUCCUUUUAUAUGUCAAGAAAAUGACGGUAGCAUAUGAAUAAGCGCCGGCUAACUCCGUGCCAGCAGCCGCGGUACUACGGAGGGUGCAAGCGUUACUCGAGAAUCACUGGGCGUAAAGGACGCGUAGGCGGGUUGGAAAGUCAGGUGUGAAAUCCUACAGCUUAACUGUAGAACUGCACUUGAAACUUCUAAUCUAGAGUAUGGGAGGGGGAGAUGGAAUUAGUGGUGUAGGGGUAAAAUCCGUAGAUAUCACUAGGAAUACCUAAAGCGAAGGCGAUCUCCUGGAACAUUACUGACGCUAAGGCGUGAAAGCGUGGGGAGCAAACAGGAUUAGAUACCCGGGUAGUC